GAUGAACGCUAGCGGCAGGCCUAAUACAUGCAAGUCGAACGGUAUUCAGAUGCUUGCAUUUGAAGAGAGUGGCGCACGGGUGCGUAACGCGUAUGAAACCUACCUUUAACAGGGGGAUAGCCUCUCGAAAGAGAGAUUAAUACCGCAUAAUAUCGGGAGUGGGCAUCCACAUUCGAUUAAAUAUUUAUAGGUUAAAGAUGGUCAUGCGUGACAUUAGCUAGUUGGAGAGGUAAUGGCUCACCAAGGCGACGAUGUCUAGGGGAUCUGAGAGGAUGGCCCCCCACACUGGUACUGAGACACGGACCAGACUCCUACGGGAGGCAGCAGUAAGGAAUAUUGGUCAAUGGACGGAAGUCUGAACCAGCCAUGCCGCGUGCAAGAAGAAGGCCCUACGGGUUGUAAAUUGCUUUUAAUCGAAGAAUAACAGUAACUACGUGUAGUUGUAUGAAAGUAUCGAUAGAAUAAGGAUCGGCUAACUCCGUGCC
RNAcentral lists this ribosomal RNA (485 nucleotides) under uncultured bacterium. Its description in RNAcentral is "bacterial SSU rRNA". It matches the Rfam family "Bacterial small subunit ribosomal RNA", at positions 28 to 509 of the family's 1533-position model. The record is from RNAcentral.